Molecule: long non-coding RNA, 2473 nt
Filed under: Homo sapiens (human)
Lineage: Eukaryota; Metazoa; Chordata; Mammalia; Primates; Hominidae
Description: HSALNT0218313
Source: RNAcentral
CUUUGGGAGGCUGAAGUGGAUGGAUCACGAGGUCAGGAGAUCGAGACCGUCCUAGCUAACACAGUGAAACCCCAUCUCUACUAAAAAUACAAACAAUUAGCCAGGCAUAGUGGCGGGCACCUGUAGUCCCAGCUACUUGGGAGGCUGAGGCAGGAGAACGGCAUGAACCCGGGAGGUGGAGGUUGCAGUGAGCUGAGAUCGCGCCAUUGUACUCCAGCCUGGGCAACAGAGUGAGACUGUCUCAAAAAAAAAGAAACAAAAAACACUCAAAACUUCCUGAAAGUCUGAGUGACUAGUUAAAUGAAAAGCUCUCCCUUAUCUUUAUGGACACUGCUUAUCAGGACCUUCAAACCCUUCCAACUACUGAGAAGUAUGCUGUGUGAUAGUAUCUGCCCUCCUGUCAGGGAAGGCAUAAGGGAAAAAUGACAAGAUGGUUUUCUACUCAGGGCAGUUUAGGUAAAAUCCUGUAUCUUUUCAAAAUGUUAACCAGAUCUAGGGUAAAUCCUGAGGUUUUGGCUCCCAAAAAACUGUUUGAAACUUGGGAGCAAUAGAGAUGUCCUGGAGAAAUCAUCCUGGACAUUCAGGACUUUUUGGCAAGAAUGGACAGCAAAAUUUAUUUUGCACAAAGUCACUGUUCAGAUUUAAUUCAGUAGAUGUGAAAAAUUAUAAAACACAAAACUUACAUUUAAAAGAAGAUACAUAGUGACCGGCUCAUGCCUGUAAUCCCAGCACUUUGGGAGGCCAAGGCAGGCGGAUCACUUGAGGUCAGGAGUUUGGAGCCAGCCUGGCCAACAUGGUGAAACCCGAUCUCUACUAAAAAUACACAAAAUUAGCCAGGGGUGGUGGCACUCGCCUGUUAUCCCAGCUACUCGGGAGGCUGAGGCAGAAGAAUCGCUUGAACCUGAGAGGCAGAGGCUGCAGUGAACCAAGAUGGUGCCACUGCACUCCAGCCUGGGUGACAGAGGGAAACUCCCUCUCAAAGAAAAAGAAAUAAUAUAUAUAUAUAUAUAUAAUAAAAUUUUAAAAAUAAAUAAAAGGAGAUACAUAUAAACCAAAUCUAACAAAGGCUCUAAAGAAGAGCAAAACAAUACUUUGUUCCAAAUGGGAAAUAGCAGAAAGAAUCCAAGGAAGUAAAAUAAGAAAGCCAGCACUGAUCAUAUGGUUCUUAAGGGUAGGAAAUACUAGGACUGGGCUAAAAGUAUAACAGAAUUUGAGAUUUCAAAUUUGAAAUUUCAAAAAGAAAUUUACAGGUCUAAUCCAAAUCCUUCCAUUUAUAGAUGAGGAAACUUAAGGUCCAUUUAUUAUUCAUUCAACAAACUUUUAUUGGUGUGCCUACAUGCUAGAUGCUAGAGAUAGUACAAAGACCAAGACAAGACAUGGUCCAGGACAGUGACUUGCUCAAAGUCACAAAGCAAGUUAGCAGCUAACCAGGGGCUCUUUGCACUAAACCCCAUAUUGUCCAAUAAUAUAUAGUCAUUUCUGUGCCUAUAAGCACCUUAAGCAUUUGAUGAUGGUUCUAUGAAAAUAUAAGAUUUUCAUACACAACUGAUACAUUUCAUAAGGGGUAUAUAUUAUAUUUAGAGGUAAUAUGAUAAGGGGUAUACAUAAUAUAUAAGGGGUAUAGAUUAUAUUCAGAUGCUGUUAGAAUCCAUGUAAAAUAACCAGUUUCUUAUGUAGCAUAUGAAACAGUAAUUUCCUUGGAAGUGCUUCCUAAUUUCUCAGUCAUUAGGUGUUGUGCAAAUGUUGACAAUCUAAAUUAUAAAAUUUUUAUUUAUUUUUUAAGUUUGGGGGUACAUGUGAAGGUUUGUUACACAGAUAAACACAUGUCACAAGGUAAAUUAUGAAAUUUUAAAACAUGGUUUCUGGUCAUAUGACUCUUACUAUGUCUCCUUUGAAUUACAAAGGAGAAUGUCAUUUUUUUAACUUAAUGUUUAAGUGAAAAUUAGAACACUAAUUUUUUUUUUUGAGACAGAGUCUCACUCUGUCAUUACGCUGGAGUUCAGUGGCGUGACCUUGGCUCACUGCAACCUCCACCUCCCGGGUUCAAGCAAUUCUCCUGCCUCCGCCUCCCAAGUAGCUGGGACUACAGGCGCAUGCCACCAUGCCCAACUAAUUUUUGUAUUUUUAGUAGAGACGGGAUUUCACCGUCUUGGCUAGGAUGGUCUUGAUCUCUUGACCUCAUGAUCUGCCUGCCUGGGCCUCCCAAAGUACUGGGAUUACAGGCGUGAGCCACCGUGCCCGGCCUAAAACACUAAUUUUAAGUGAAAAUUAGAAUACUAGUUGAAUGAACGACAUUUAGCUAGUGUUCUAACACUUUAUUUUCAUAAAUGACUCGAUUUUAAAAGACCUACUUCUAUCAUUAACCUGUUGACCCAUCUAAUCAUUCAUAGCUUAACCAGUUUGGUAACAGUGUAUGUAAUAUAAAUAGAAACAGUUAAUAAAAUGUUCUGCAUCAGAACUUUUUUUUUUUUUU